This 254-nucleotide ribosomal RNA is filed under the name uncultured bacterium. RNAcentral's name for it is "partial 16S ribosomal RNA". It matches the Rfam family "Bacterial small subunit ribosomal RNA", at positions 524 to 776 of the family's 1533-position model. The record is from RNAcentral.
UACGUAGGGUGCGAGCGUUGUCCGGAAUUAUUGGGCGUAAAGAGCUCGUAGGCGGUGUGUCGCGUCGGCCGUGAAAACCUGCAGCUUAACUGUGGGCUUGCGGUCGAUACGGGCAUCACUGGAGUUCGGCAGGGGAGACUGGAAUUCCUGGUGUAGCGGUGAAAUGCGCAGAUAUCAGGAGGAACACCGGUGGCGAAGGCGGAUCUCUGGGCCUGUCCUGACGCUGAGGCGCGAAAGUGUGGGGAGCGAACAGG